Molecule: ribosomal RNA, 323 nt
Filed under: uncultured eukaryote
Lineage: Eukaryota
Description: partial 18S ribosomal RNA
Rfam family: Eukaryotic small subunit ribosomal RNA
Source: RNAcentral
CCCUUAGAUGUUCUGGGCAGCACGCGCGCUACAAUGGUCUUCGCAAACGGAUGCAUUCUCGAAGGAGAAUGCCAAUCUUGGAAUCUAUGCCUUGGUCGGGACAGUUGCUUGCAAUUUUUCGACUCGAACCAGGAAUUCCUUGUAAUCGUGAUUCAUCACAUCACGAUGAAUACGUCCCUGCCCUUUGUACACACCGCCCGUCGCUCCUACCGAUUGAAUGGUCCGGUGAAGCGCUCGGACCGCGGCCUCUUGACGGUUCGCUGUCGAUUGGCUGUGGGAAGUUCGUUAAACCUUAUCAUUUAGAGGAAGGAGAAGUCGUAACA